Bombus huntii is the source of this 19084-nucleotide long non-coding RNA. RefSeq lists it as uncharacterized. The transcript is spliced from 2 exons. NCBI's taxonomy places the organism in Eukaryota, Metazoa, Arthropoda, Insecta, Hymenoptera, Apidae. The record is from RefSeq and is a predicted model, not a curated record.
GUAGUCAGCGACCGGGACUCGAAUGCGAACAUAGAGUAAGUGAGACAGAGAGGGAAGAGAGAACCGAGGAAAAAAAGAUGACGAUAACACGCGCGCGCACUCGCGCUCCGUACCCACUCUUCGCAACGAGAGGUCCACUUUACACUCGAGAAAAUGCUGUUAACGAACUACUCUUCGAUUUUACUGAAUAUGGAUGGGAUCUUAUAAUUUAUUGGCGGAUUAAACCGACGAUUAUUCAGCCGGCUGGAUGCCUCCUGCAGGUUACUUUUGUUACUGUUUUUAAUUCGAGUUCGGGACGCGAUCUUUUGCUGUAUUAUACAUAUAUAUAUAUAUAUAUACAUAUAUACAUAUAUACGCACGUAUGUACAUGUACGUGCACGUAGAAAAAUUGAAAAGGGCUCCACCCAUUCUAAUCUGCAUGUGGUAUCUGGAUUUUUAGUUCGCCUGGUAAAAUGGUGCCUACUAAGAAAUACAACCGUAUAUCGUCCUUGUUGGUUUAAUUAACAGAAUAUGAACUGGAAUCUAAAAUCCGAUUACGCUCUAAUUGUGCUCGAUGUUUGUUAAUGUACUUAACUGAGACAGUAUAACGCACAAACACGUAUAGCAAUGCUAGUUACUACCUCACAACUGACUCUAGUGUGUAUACAGUUCUAAGCAGUCGGCUAUAUAUUUAUAACAUAAUUAGCAUUACGUUAUACCUACCGUUACGUAAUAAUUAGAAUUUAAAAACACGCCUUUUUCAUUCUCGACAAGUUGUCGCUGCAGAUUCCAAUUACGUUAAUCUUCUCAGUUUGCUUUCCUUUUGCAUUAUGCAAACGAUCGAACUGUGUUACAUUUUCCAUAUUAAUUUAUGCAUUAUAUAUUUUGAUUUAUACUAAACAGUAUAUUUAUAGGAUAUUUCGCAAACUAAUUUUCAAACCUAUUCAACCGAUAACUUUUCACUUUUAUUUUACAAUCGCCUUGCUAAUCUUUUACAUAACAAACUGACGAUUUAAAAGAUUCCGUUCGAAAGCAAUUGUACGAGAUAUCGUAGACACGAUUCUCUCGUUUUUUUUUCGUGGCAAUCUUAACGCCGCCAUUCACCAAUUUUAUCUUCUUUAUCAUAAUCGUUGUUGAUCAACGAUUUUGAUUCGUUGACGAAGCGUAUGAACUGCAAUGUUCAGAUGCAAUUAAACGAAAUUACUUAAGCCAAACGAUAUAAACAAUGGCUAUUCAUACCAUAAUACGAAUCCAAUGAUCGCAUAAUGGCGUGCCAUUUUAUCGGGCUUUUCGCGAUAAGGGAAUACGAGAUAACGGUCACAGGAGGCUUGGCAUCUAGAGUAGAUAGUUUGGUUAUUGACUGCGUUGCUGUCGUUACAGCGCGACGAACUGCGCGUGAUGAAACCUCAGAUUAUCCUCUACAGAUCACCACUGAUAAAUCCAUGUCGUUGAACUCUUUCUCACCACUUUUAAUUUUAUUGAUCGUACCGAUAGUAGAGAUAUUAUGCCGUAUUUUGUAAUACCUUGGCAACUUAAAUAGAAAAAUUAAUCCCCUUGAAAAACGAUAAAAGAAAAGAAAAAAGAAAGCCACGAUAAGAUAGUAUCACCUUAUCGAAAUAUUAAAUUAUGUGAUUACCGUAUCACUCGCGAUAGUAUGUAUCUUUUCGUCAUCUGUAACAUCGUACGCGAUGGUGAAAUCGAUUUUAUAUCUUGCGCUGUUAAAACGCGAUAAAAAAUCACGUAAUCUGUGGAAGUAACGUUUCACGUGUGCGCAUAAGUCAAAAAUAACCAGACACUGGUGAAAAUUCUCCAAAUUUCUAACUAACGAACACCGGGCUGUUUAUACAUAGGCGUUUUCAUUAGCUUGCUUCGACUAUUCUAAAAAGUGUUCCUAUCGUUUUUAACACGAUACAAGGAAUACAAGCGGCAUGAUUAUGCAUGCGCGCAGAUGCAUAUUUAUUCCGUUGCGACGAGUUUAAAAAAAGAAACGCAAUUGUAAAUUAUUUAUAAUAUUCGCCGCAAAGUUUUACACAAUGUACAAAUAUCGAGUAUCUACAAAGAAAUGACAUCACUCUGACAUCAUAGUACGACAUGACUUCGUAACGCAAAGCUUAGAUGCAGCGAUGCAGUCAGAGAAAAAAUUUUACCGGCAACGUUAUACAAUUCGUGCGAGCUGAAACGGAGAAAAAAUGAAUGACCGCAUAGUUUCGUUCGAAGGUAUAUUAGUUUCUACUAUUGCAACUCGAUCGGCACGGUCGAACCAAUAUUAUCAGCGAAAUUUAACGAGUCGCGAGUUACGAGCUAUCAGCACUAAUAAAUUCUCCUACGUAACAACAAUUUUGAUAAUAAAACAAAUGAAAUUGUACGUAUAAAUAUGGUAGAUUAUGAGUCAACCGAUUAUCCUAUUUGAUAUUAAUUUGUACGUUUUGCUAAAAUUCACAUACGGUUACUAUAAAAUCGACUAAAGUAUCCGGAUGCUUUGUAUAAGCAUCCGUGCAAGUGUGUCAAACAACCGGCCGCAAAUUUAGCCAAUUGGUAAUUUUAAUACGACCAGUUUGUCGAUAACACGGCCAUGUGCAAGGCUGCAAUAGUUCACCGUUAAUCUCUCGAAACACAUGAAACGCGUCGAAUAUCUAUUUACAGACAAGGGACAAAUAACUUUGUCAGUCUACUCGAUGAUACGAUUUUAUCCAUUAACCCUUGCACGUUCUGUGUCAGCGAAAGAUUUACAUAAUUACUUUCCCGAGUAUGCUCGUGCGACAAUUUUGCAUGGCACGUUGCAUAUUGAUGGUACGCACACUUACAAAAAUAUCGUGUGUAUAAUAGCGACAAGUAUCAGCCGCACUAGGCUACCAUAUUUCAUAGGGGCGACUGAUAGGGCGACUUUAUCUAGCGCGACGCGCUGCAAAAUUAUUUCCGCUUCGCCGAGACACGCGGUAGACGUGUCUGGCUCGAUGACGCCUUCUUUAAUAUGCUUUAAUUUCUAAUUUGUCUGCACAGCGUCACGAGCGCAGUGAAAUGCAAUUAUGUGGAUGUACGAUCGGAUAGAUGCGUCUCUUGUUACCAUCGAACGUUAUGUAAUACUGCGAGAUUACUGAAAAACAUGUACGAUGACUCACGAUAAUAUUUGAACACUUAUGCAAACUUCCAGUGAAUAUAUUAUGCGUGUAAUACGAAAUAUUUUACAAUUUCAUUUCAUUCAGCUAUUUAAUGGGAUACGACAAUCAUCGUUAUUUUAGUAGAAAUUGAAAUGAUAUAUAACAAGGAAAUGUAUAUAAAUGUUACGAGGCAUUUAUCGUAAACAUACACUCCGCAAAGAUCAUCGAAAUAUUUGAAUAGUCAAUUAUCGAUCAUGUUGGUACGUAACGAUAUUUAGUGGAACUAUAUUUAGCGCUAUUUAUACGUUGACACUGUUUAUCCUAUGUAUUAGAUUUUUAUUAAGAAUAUGUUUGCAAGGAAUGUGUCGUAAUCUCUAAAUUCUGAUUGAUUUCAUAUUUUGAUAUAAUGUAAUAACGAUGGCCUCGUUACAGUGUCAGCGAUGUUUCAAAAAGUUUCGCAAAACGCACAUAAAACAUCCAUGAAUAUUUUCUAUAGCACGCGUUCGAAUAUCUUUGCGAGUCAAAUAGGUAAAGUUAGUUUAUGAGAUAAAAUUUCUAUUCAUAUAUACGAACUUGUAACAUAUGUAUAGGACAGAAAGAUAAACGUUCAAAAAGUAUACUUGCUAAUAAAAAUGAUUUUACAUAUCGCGCAUUACUAGAGUUUGCGGUAUCUGUAUCCUCGAUAAUCUACUUCGAGCGGAAGAUUUUUUCAAUAGGCGGCUGGUCACGUGAAUGAAUGUUAUGUUUACAAUCUUGCAAAACACUUGGUAUCAUUCAUAGAUUAUCACCGAUGAUACAAGAGCCGAGCAGUGCAAACGAGAAUUUUAACAGGGAGGGUCGUAAUUUCUUAAAUACUUAAUAUUUGAUGAUAUAAGUCGAGAAUAAAUAUCCGGACACACCUGGUACGUGUCAUAGGGUUAUCGCUGCAGAACCAUUACGUAACGGAAUUUAAAGAUUCCUUAACGGUGUGGUUUGUUACGCUGUUGGUAACGCGCAAAAACGCGACGAGCUAACCUUCUCUUUUCUUGCGCGGGAAAACAUCACGAAUCGUCGAUACCGUGAGGCGUAAUCAUGUACAUAAUAUUCCUCGUCUAUUAUUUCCCACGAAACUCUUGAAAUUCAUCAAGAAAUCAUCGUUAAAAGAUCCCCAGAAGUAAUAUUGUAAUUUGUAAUAAAACGUAAAAAACAUUUAUAACAAAUAAUAAAGAUUUUUAGAAUGAUUUACAAAUGCUCGCGAAUAUAUUCAGACACCUACCACAGAAUCUUUUUAUGAAUAUAUUAUAUGCAUUAUAUGCAUAUGAAACCAGUUCGAAAAUGUAUAUAGAGAUUACAAAACAUUUGUUACAAACAUGCAUUUAAUGAAGAAUUGGUAUACGGCAUAAAUAGUAAUCUUGAACGUGCAAUUCAUCUCGUUAAAUAUUGUGACUUAUUAAUACAUAUAACGAAUAUGUUGAUUGUUCAAAUAUCCUGACGAUCUUUACGAAGUGUAUGCUCUUUCAAUAAAUAUGUUAGAAUUUCUACGCGAUAAUCUUCGCGUCUCGUUACAGUGCUAAUGAGAUUUCAAAAUGCUUUGUACGAUAUGUACAUAAAAAGUUUCUAAGAUUGUUCAAAUACUUUCUUAAAUCACUCUGAAUACAUUUACUAAAGACUUUAACGGAUCUUAAAUUCAAGAAGCGUAUUAUAACCUAUAAUUAUCGGUUCGUGAAUUACGACGCUAUUCGUGGAGAUUUUUCUGGAAGCUACGGUUUUAUCGAAGCGAAUACAGGCACAGAGCGUGGAGGACGUAGUUUCUGCAUUUCACUAACAAUAAGUGCAAACGAAGCGGGUAGAUGCGAUCUCCGAUUAUUCCUAUCGAGUAACAAAGAGAGCGUUGUACUUUUCCGAGCGUAAGUUUGGCUUUGCCGGCGAGCUGCUUUACGUACUCGUUCGGGAGUCGUAUGUCUUGUGACGUCACUCGAGGCGCUGGCAACAUUGCGAAAGAUCAUGCGACGUUGUCAAGCCGCUCCAUGUGCCGGAAAUUCAAAGCCUCUUUCGCCUCUACGUAGAUUCGAAUAAAGUUCUUACUUGUUUCUUAAACCUUCGACGUCGACAAUAAAAACUUUUACGUAUAAUACUCGAACGUAUGAAUUUUCCAUGUUUCUCAAUCCGUUCGACCGAUUCGAGAAACGUACGCUAGAUCAAGGGGAAACUUUCGUCGUAGUUCAUAAUGGAAGGAGUACCUUUAGUGCGGGUUCGAUCGUAAAGAGCAGCACGUUGCUCAGAGUGGAUAAUAUCAUUCUGUCACGUCACAGUGUACGCUGGCCAGAGAAAAUCAAUCCGGCGCUUCUCUACUAACCUUUUGCCUGAACAGCGCCACACUCGCUACUAUCCACCUUAAAAACACUCUGUUCUUCAAGGGUCCGUUGCGAUAUUGACCCGAGGUUGCGUUAGGUUAUUUCUGUCGAGGUUCAUGUACCUUUUCAGGUGAAAUGUUGGAAUUUUUGUGAAUGCACUUUCAGGCUUGCUCUUUAUAGUAUGUAUUAGACGCAUUCAGGAGAUAAUGUUAUAUCAUAGAUCGACUUCGCCCGUGUCCUUGACCUCAUUGGUAGUUCAAACGGUUAAACGUCGCGUACAAUAUCGUGGUAUGUACAUGUUGUUUACUCGCUCUGGCUAUUAUAGCUUUGUAGUCAUUUCAUUUCGAAAUAAAUAGUUGAAAGAAACGUUCUGUAAAUUAGUACAAUGUAUGAAAUUAAGUUGAUAUUCUAAUGCCAUGCCAAUUUCUCGAGAUUUAGUUUGUAUAGUAUAUAAUAUAUCUAUAAAAUGUACAACUGUCGUUUAAUUAUUAUUAUUAUUCUGUUUAAAUGUGUAUUAUGUCUUUUUGUUAUUUUCGUAAAUUAGUGUUCUUGGAGCAGUAUAUCUUCAAGAAACAAUAAGAAAAUGAAUGUAUUCAACUUUUAUAGAACUACGAUUAUAUACUUUUCAAAGAUUUAAACAUUUUUAUAUCAGUACAAUUUUCUUAUGUUACAUUCGAAAUGUAAAUUUCUAAACAAAAGACAAUACAAUAUAAAAAACAUACGUUCGAUAUCUUUUUUUUAUCAACGGAUCGCGUGACAAAGAAUCGUCAGAAAUACGAGCGAUCCUUUAAAUCAACCCCCUGUGCUGUGUUUACCGUUCGAAAUGGACCAAGGGAAGAGGAUAUGCGCGCGAUAUACGACCUAAUUCAGUACCCUACUGAUAACGAUGACGUCACGAUAGCUCGUCUACUUGUUACUAGUCACGGACGGUACGUGACACGAGACCAAACUGUAGAGAUGAGCAGGAUGAUAAUGGUGUUACUCUACAUUACGUUAUGCGUUACACUAUUCCUCGUGACACAACACGCGGUGGUUUAUUCAAUUCUCUCGCGAAUAUUUUAUUAUUCAUCCGAUCCAUUUGCUACGAACGUGAUAUUGACUAAUGUCGAAUAUUUACGCUUUGCUAUUCCUAUCGUUACAUUAUGUAUUUUACCUUCGGUUUAUGUGCCAGAAUUUUACUUUUCAAAGCGAUAAGCUAGACUAACUAGCAUGGUAUCGAUUCGAGUCGAAGACACGCGAAACGUGAGAAAAUGAAAGUAGCAGCGGGUCGCUUUUAGAUCGAUCAGCCAGCGGCAGCAGCAGCAGCAGCAGCAAGCAAGAGCCGCCAAGGGAACGGGGAGACCAGUUGUCGUCUUUCCAUCGUCGCGUCGUCCUUUCGUCGGCAUCACGAGAUUGCGCGAUGAUGUCAUGUAUUCGGCCGAGUUUACGCGUGUUUGUAAACAGGCAGAGGGAAUGAGAGAAAUAACCCAGAAAGCCGAACAAAGAGGGAGGAGAGAAGUGGGAGUAAACGUGUUGAGGACGCGAACGAAAAAGGUGGCGGGGAAGGGGUAAGGAGAGGGAGGAGAGCGAGGGGAAAAAUUGCCUUGUGUCAGGCACCUUGCUGUUCCGACUGCGCAGCAUCUCUCCGCUCGUCUCUCGUACGCCUUCGUCGAGGCUUCCUACGCAGCGUUGCUCAUCUCGUUUUCUCGUACACGAGCGUGACGUCAUGCUGCAAGUUGCACAGGAGUAACCGACCGUGGGAAGGGGACCAGGGGGGAGUAGUUACGUGGGGAUACAAAACGAGCGAACUCUGGCGCGCGCGCGCGCACCAGAGAGCCGCAGCGUCGAUGGAUUUGCUGUUAGCUGUAUGCAGCGGGCUGCAUGCAGAAUACACACGCGGUGACAUCGUCGUAUGCAGUCGUUGGUUAGCUGCUUUCUCCCUUUACCCCCCUAUCUUCGUCUACCUAACCUCUUGACGAAGCAUAACCGGUUCCGCGCCGCGUGCAAACUCCUUCCCAUCCCCCUGGCCUGCGACUGUCUCUUUCUUUCUUCCCCCAGUUUUCUUCCUUUCCGUGCAAACCCUAUCUCUCUUCCGAGCCGUUCCGCCCUCCCUCACUCGCUCGCUCCUUCUCGCUUUUCUUUCUCGCGUUUCAUUCUCGCUUCCACCCAUUUUCAAUACCAUGCUCGAACCACGGAACCGGACCGAGUUAACCCUACUAUGUAGCAACUUGGUCCUGCAUUUUACGCGCUUUUCUCUCGUUCUCUUUCGUCACUGAUGCACACACACCUCGCAUGUGUACGAACUUCAGCUUGGCGGGCGAUUCUCGCGGUCAUCCAGCGGGACGUGCUACUUUAUGCUAUAGUUUCUAUCUUUUUCUUUCUCUCUGUCUCUUGCUCGUGCUACGCGAUUCGACGUGCAGUGUGCUUCGCCACGCUACAGUUGCUGCCUCGGUCAAUAUCACAUCGUAUUCUGGGUACGCGCAGUGCGCGUUAAUGCCACACGGCUCGCGGUUUCGUUUUUAAGAUAGGUUAGAUCAGCCAGGUCACACACCUGUUAUAUACAUAGCGUAUACACAUGGCUUUCCUUUACCAUGAAAUUUACAGCACCAUUUAUGGAACGAUAGGAAUUCAUCCAUUGACGACUCAACUGAGAAAUAUUUCCAUUACUUUUUUUAUUAUAACCCUCGUGUUUCAUCGAAAUUUAAGCGCGAUUGGCGACAAAGCCAUGAAAAAGAUUGGGUUGAUUUCUGUGCAUUCUUGGUUCACAUUGGCCUCGUAACUCAGUCUGUUCCUUUCGACCAGGGUAUGUAAUAGCUAUCGCAAAGGCGAUGGCAUGGCGGGGCAAUGCCACGAAGGAGACGAUGGUCUGAGUCUGAGCGCAUAUUGCACCGGACGGUUAAUGGCGUGAUGGCGUGACAUCGAUGCACACGCACGCCGCGAGGUGGGGCGAACGGAACAGAACGAAACGGAACGAAGCGAAAUGAAACGACCGGAACGCGAUGUCGCGUGUCCUAUGCUGCACUCGCGUGUGUCGCAAGUAUUACACGCGAUCUCUUGGCUAAAUGCUUUAGCGCACGAAUAUAUGUACUCGUACAUCGUUUUGCUUCUGCGUCUCUGCUUCUAAUCCUUAACCCUUUAACUCUUCUCUCGUGGCUGAUACUGUUACAGGUGGCUAUUACUUUAUGGUUGCGCAAGAUUAGACGAGUUUAUCGUUGCACGACAAAACCAUAUAAAUCUCGCCACGACGGAAAAAGGGUGUACGACCAAUACAGGCCGCAUUUUGUUUUCUCGGCAAUGCGAAACGUAUUGCGAUUCCAUCUUUUAUGCCGGCACGUUGAUUAACGUACGUACGAAGAAAAAAGUCGACGUGUGAAAAAUGAAUAUUCUUAAUUUCCGUGUAAUACACGUUGUGCAGCCUCGCGUAUCCUCCGAAGAGAAAAUGUACUUGUCGGACUUGUGAACUUGGAUGGAACGCUGUGUAUGCGUUUACGUGUUCUUUUGUCAGGGCUCGUGAGAAAGCGUUCCACAAUGACACGGUCAUACUCAUACUUCUUGCGGAAAGGAAUGAGUUAGCAGCAGGCCGAAUGCCAGGAUGUUCACGAAAUGCUUUAUAUUUAUAUACGUUCUUCGCGUUGAUGUCUUUAUUUUAUUAAGUUGUUGCAAUUGUUUGCUCGCAUAUCGUGCACGUAGUUCAAAAGAAAUUAAAAAUUAAAUUUUAUUGCAUAUACAUAUAUUUAUGUAGAAUAAUAAUAAAAUAGAAUAAAAAAGAAUAAAUAAGUAAAAAUAACAAAUAAAUAAAUACAUAAAAACGCAAAUUAAACAGAAAUAGUACGUAUUCUAAAACGAAGUAACUUAACCUAACGUACGACCGACGACUACGACCUAACGUUACUAAUUGAGGUUAAAAGACUGCAUUCUUCCUACGUCGUACAGCCAAUUUUAAUCGACCAACCGAAUAUAAAAAUAAUACAAUGUACCUUUACAACCGCUCCAUCAAUCACACUUUGACUGUUUCGAAAACACCAUAUCCCCGGACGUAUACCACGUGUAACUUCCACAGACGUCGAACUUGGGGCGUGCAGUGCACAGCUGUACAAAGAACGAUCCGCCAUGGAACUCGAUCAUUUUCUUAUUAGCGGGCCGAGGAAGCGGCCCCGACGCGAAAUUUCAAUAGUCAACGGACCGAUUAUCCGCGGCUGGAUCUUCAUCAGAUAGCCGUCGAAACGAGAAAAAGAAAAAAGGAAACGAAGAGAACGUUAGUUCGGUUUGCACCCUCCUCUCUUUGUUUCGAUACACGGCGCGCUGUUAAAGCCGCUCGGAGAAGAAACACCUGACGACGUCAGGCGGAGAGUACCUACGUGCAUACCUGUGGCAGGUGAAUCGAGUCAGGUGCCCGAGCAGAUGGGUGUCUCUACUCGAGAAAGCGUUAUAAAAGCGGUCUAUCUCAUAAAUGUGGGUUACCAGCUAGAACUAACGCCCGUCGUUAGAGCAACAUCGCGAUUUUGCAGGUUGCCUCUGUAACUGAUGUUAUUCUAUAAAUGGUACCUUGAAGCCAUAACGUGUUUUUCCUCGGCUCUUUAAAAUUUAAAUGACGGUAAAUGUCAGGGAUGAUAUGUAAAACGAAGAAGCGUGUUGUUAAUUCUUCAAAUGAUAGGGUAUAUCUAUAAAAAUUUCUUUGGAUUUCAAGACCGUUGAUUCGUAAGAUUUUUCACUUACGCAACGAAUGAUGAAAAAUGGAGCAACGCGAGAGUUUUAAUAUUGACAACAUGCCAAGUUAGACGAUCAUAGUAAAUAGUUUUUAUGCGAUAAAAUACGAAUAUUUAAUUCUGCAUGUGUUAGUAGCUAUUUACCUUUUGUGUGAAUUAUUUAGAGUAGGUACUAGAUUACUUUUUAAUAGCGUCAUGAUUUCCAUGAUUCUAUGGGUGUACAGUCGCCCCGAAAAGUAAGUUAACGAUCUUACAUUUAAACUACGUAUAGCGCCAGUUAAAAAAAUUUGAAAUCGCCUAGAAUUUUCGUAUACUUCAUCAUCGAUCGAACAGCGUUCCUUUCUUAGUUCGAACGUGAAACUCAAUGAAAUACACCGAUUUUCUAAGACGUUUUAAUGGGCAGUAAAACAGGAAACGCUGUUUCACAUCUGUCGGCGGUAAACAGUGAGAUUCGAACGUCCUUCGAGGCGUUCUCGUCAAGCGAAGGGGUAUAACGAGCGGAUCUUUUCUUCUUUCUUCCUUCUUUUUUUUUUUUUCUUCUUUUUUCCAUAGACACGUGUCGUGUGCAGUGCACACGUAGUAUGCAUCUUUGGUGUACGCAGUCGCGCGGACAAGAAACUAUGUGCAGUCACGUGUAAGAGUGGAAUAGCAAAAACGUGAUGCGAUUAUGCAUUCUUUCUACGUCGUCAUUUCUCACUUGGUACGAGCCGGGCCUCGUGUGUAGAUAUACAUACUUAUUAACCUAACGUUUUAUGGUAAUUUUAUUAAACGCUUCUUUUUUACGGCAGACGUCACCGGAUUUCCAGCGACUACAAACAUCGUCGAUCAAUAUUCGUCGAUCGCGAGAUCGACCAUGAUAUUGUUAAACCGCAAAUACUUAACGUGUAUAUCGGUCUCGAGCAAGUUUCCUAUCGAAUGCAGGUAAAAAGAUAAGAGCUUGAAGUAAUCAGUGAUCAUUCAAUUAAUUUGCUAUUUUUACUUGAAAAGUAAUUCACGCUUAAUUUAAUUUCAUUUUGUAUCAAGAUAAUUAUACGCAGAUCAUUUUCAAGCAAUUUAACUAUUCCAAAUAAUAUAACAAAUAAUUUGGCUUUUAAUAUCAUGCAUGCAAUAAUUGCAUGAAGCUUAGACAAACUUUAUGCGGAAUAAAAAUAAGAAACAACGAUACGAUGAAAUAAUUGUCGUUUUAAUUGCUCAAGGAUUUUUGUUUUAUGUUAUGAAAUAAAAAUAUGUUACAGUUACGCUGUUUAAUAUAAAUAACACCGAGGAUGUAAUUUCAUCUUGUUAAUUGCGUGUACGAUUUCAAAAAUAGGUUACAGGAUAUCAAUGGAAUUCUUCCAAAUUGAAAUCUUUUAAGAUAAAUUGAAAAUUUAUUUUGAAUCCUUCAAACGGAACUCUGCUCUCACCUUCCCCAUUAUGCGACAAUUCUUAUUAUACAUUUCUAGACAGAUUUAUCGAUUUUAUAAAAUACGUCACGUCGAAACAGCCUUGAAUAUGAUCAAAUGUUUGAAAUAAUUUUCCUAAAGGAGCAAAUAUAGUAAUUUGUGGUCUUGCCUGAAUAAUUUUAGUUAACAGGUAUUUUUAUCACCCCUUGUGUACUUGUUUGUAUUUAAUUCUAUUAUGAACCUCGAUGCUUUCUCCACGCAAUUGCGUUGUCGUUUUAUUAGAAGAUGCCUUGAUUUGGAAAAACGAACUGUUACAUAAAGCGAGAACAAAGAAACUCGUUUGUAACGUGUAAAAGAGAAGGUUGUAAAUUAUAUACAGAAAAAACGAAGAAAUUGUUUAAAGAAUGUAUUUUUAACGAAAAUUAUUUCAAGACCGUGUUACGUAGUUCAUGUACAACAUCAGCAAUAAAAGAAGGGCACUUUUAUUAAUAGAAGAUAAAAAUAAUCUCAAUACCUUAAUAUUUAAAAAAAGAACUAACUACGAAUUGGCGUCGUUAUUUUUUAAUUUUAUUCCAUUUAAUUUCAGGAACAAAAUCAAUCACUUAUAAUGAAUUUCCAAACGAUCCACACAGACAAUGAUAUUCUUUUAUACUAUACCAAGAUCCUUUAUUAAUAGACUGUUAUUCUUUAUUAUUAAGUUAAGGAAACUUAUUUUUAUGAAGAGGUAUUUUAAAAUUGCGACGAUAAUGUUUACAACGAAUUUAUAUAAACGAUACUACGAUAUCUUCUUCAAUGUUCUAUAUUUCUCCGAAUAUUAAGUUAAUAAUGAAACACAAUACAAAAGAAAGGGAAAUACAAUUAAGAUUCGUAAUAAUUAAUAAAUUAACUAUUUCAUUUCUAUUACGAUAAUAAGUAUUGCAAAGGUGAGAUGUUAAGUUUAUAAACAUUAUAGACGAUUUAAAAACUCCGCUAUUUAUGAAAAAUCUUCUUCUACUAUAAUGUUAAAAGUUCAAAAAAAAGUUUAAAGUUUAGCCAUCGAUUUUUUUCAAGUUGACGACAUUUCAUCCAUAAUUCCCCUAUAAAUGUAUCGAGAGAUAAAAUAUUCGUUUAACAUUGCUGUUGAAAACCACUUGUAAUCGUUAAAUGAACCUGGUUUCGUGUCCACCGAAAAUGUCGAUCGAUUGAAAAAUUUCAGCGAUAAUAAACACGCACACACGCACACACGAAACGAUAACGGUCAAAAGUAACAGCUGCGAGAACGUUCGAUUAGACGUGCCGAUGGAAAAAGCAGGAAGAGAUUACAGCAAACAAGAUUUUAUCGUUUCAAAUCACAGCUGCCUUCGAAUCAAUCGCUGCCAGCUAUUCCUCCAAUGCCACUUGCGCAAAUUUUGCAAAGUCGAGUGACGGUUGGCGAUGUUUGAAAAAUAUUUUUUUCACGAGUUUAUUACUUCACCUUUUUUUUUCUCCACGAGUGUUGUUACGUCCCUUAACCUUACCAUAAACUAUAGUCCAUCCUCGUACAAUCUGUACAAAUACAUCAACUCGGACCCUUAAUAACCUUAAGGAACCGUAAUAAAAUUUAACUUUUACCCUUCUGUCAAGGCCUUUAAUUGCUACAAACAUCUUCCAAGUCGAAACGUUCUUUAGAGUUAUUACUCAUUAAGGCAAAACAUGCGAAAAGCAACUUUUCCCACGUACAAUAUUCGGCGGCCACCUCUACCCGUGAGCGGUCGCUUGGUCGAUUGGUGGGGGGCGGACAGCACCCAUCACUAGUUUCGUAAAAUAUGGCCGUCACAGAAUAUAUAUCUCAACUUGCUCUAACCUCUUCGCUGAAAACACUUCUACACGCAUCACUUAUAUUCUUCAAAGCUGUUGGAAAGAGAAUAUUUAAUCUGCUAACUCAGUGUUAUAAUUGUUCAAGCACUCCUAUUAUCUUAACCGAAAUAGAGGAUCGGCUGGUUCGUGGCGUCGAUCAUCGUAUCGUAACGAGAAUUUACGACUGUAGUUGGCGCGUUAUAAUGUGAACGCGUCUCUCCGCGAAGCGGUCGAACAAGUAUGAUUUGUUGUCAGACGACGUACACCGAUAGCCUUCCCUAAAAUUAUCAGUCUUUUGUAUAUAUUUUUCAACUAUCCGUAUAUUUAUACAUAUGAACAAAGAAACACGUAAAACGCCGUGAUGUGUAAUCGUUGCUAUGUAAGAAAUUAUUAUAUACGUUGUUGUUGAUUAUACGAUAACUGCAGCGUUUCAUGAAACUAUUCCAACACUUGGCACGGAAUUUUUGUACCGACAUAUUACGUGCAUUUAUACGGAUUUUUGUUGAAAUUUCGUCGGCGUUCUAACGAGACACGACUAUCGGCGAUUAUAAUAAAGAAGCGAAAGAAAAAAGAAAUCGCCUUUGAUGAUAUUCUGACACCGAUCUGUUAAAAACAUCGAGGCAAGGAAAGUUACACAGCUUGGGAUUUUUUUUCUUUCUUUUCGAAUCUUUCGAUAAAGAAAAUGUUGCGAAAUUUUCCAUAUCGUGUUUCUUACAAUUCGACUUCAAAAUUCUCGUAUAUUUAUCUGAUCUUACGUAAAGUUACAAAACCAUAGUUUUUCGCAAGUACGAUUUAUAAUAUUUAUAUUUUAGUUAAUCGUACAAAAUACGCUAUUGCGUUUGUAUUAUCGAACCUUAUCGAAUUCACAUGUCAAUUCAUUCAUAACACACGUCGUAUGUUUAUACAAAUUUUCCGUAGUAAACGUUGGAAUUCUUUCGUAAGUCGCUUUAGCUUUGUUUUUGCGAAUAAAAAGCUCGACCUGUAAUACCUCCCUCGGCGAAAUGCGCGCGAAACUCGUUUCGCUCGAAAGGGAAAAUAAUCGUGACGCGAUGGUUUCUCCGUUUCAGCAGUACGCCGGCUUUAACAGCUGUUAUUACAAGGAGAAAAGUUAUUCGUACACACACGCGACAGUGCCAUUUCGCGUGUACCGUCCUGACACAAUGGCAGUACGGUAGUUUAUCAGAAGGGUGACACAGGCCAAUGAGUGGUCGCCGGUGUCGCCAGUGUCGCGCGAAAAUGCAACUUUUCCUCUGCCAGAUAAAUAUUUAUGUCACCUCGAGACUCUCAAACCAUCGUUCAUCGUAAUCUGCGCCCGGAAGCGUGUACACCGACGAUCGAAAGUUUCGCGGUCGAGUUUCAGAAACGAUGAUAUCGCUUUCGAAGUGUAAGGCGAAAGAUCUGCCCAACCAGAAACUUUUAUACGUUACUGUAUAUACGUUUGAAACGAAGGGUCGUGAAUUUUUAAGUGACAAUGUACGUUUCCUUUUGGUUGCAACUUUACAUCUAAUGGAGACGAAAAAAUAAAAAAGGGAACGCACGGAUUUUAUCUAUUUGAAAUAUUCAUCGGUUUUUUGAGUAAGAAUAAUGAAGGAGAAGAAACGAAAGAUCGACGUGAUGAAUGAAAUAUAACGAUUUACUAAUUUGUCAUCGUUACGCCUAUAUCUGAUACUAUGUAUCCGUUCUUUCUUUACGCUGAUAGCUAACAUGUAUCAAAGAAUUAUAUUUCUAGUCGUAGGAAAUUUCCAAAGCUUAUCUAUGAUUUAUGUUUGUGUCAAUGAUAUACGUUUAUUGACUCGUCGUGGGUUGUACGUUUAUGUAUAGCCGAUAUAGAUACAGAUUACUGUACGUCAGAACAUGGAAUCGGAGGCUAUAGAGGUUGUUCAACUGCAAAUGUUCGAUUGUUAAUAAACUCCGCUCAUUUUUGCUGCUAUGAAUCUCCUCUACGUAGUUGGAAUAACAUUCCAGUUGGUCGCGUAUUUUUACGAUUAUAUUUUCACCGCAAAGCCACAAAAUCGGUUUAAAAUGGAUUUAAAAUCUUUCUUGUUAGUUGUUGAUACGUGUAACGUGAGUAUAAAAUGUACUUUGGACUCGUAUGAAGGCAAAUGUAUUUGCAAAACUCAUCUAGAUUUUUGCACAAAUCUAGAUUUAUGUAUUUAGUAUUUAGAAUUGAGACUCGUUUUAAUUUUGUCCCAAAAUUUAAAUUUCAUAUUCAACAAACUCACCGAAAAUGAUUUGAAUGCCAAAAAUAGCUUUUAACAUAGUACCAAAGCAAAAAAGGAAACAAGAAAAUAGUAAAUAAAUCCAAGCGAUAGCGAUAAAUUUGUAGGAAUUAGCAAAUUACUAGUAGUCCGAUAAAACAUAAAUGAACGUAAAAUUACAUUUAGUUACAACAAAGUUGCAUCAUAAUUCAUCGAAAAUUAAUUCGACAGCGAUGAAACGCAAGGUCGUACGAAUUAUUAUUUUCUGUAAUACGCCCGCGCUGCUUUCAACUAUAUACAACUAUCGACACUAGAAUUUGUCUUAUCUACCAUAUUUAUUCGUAUGAAAAAAUAAAAAUAAAAAAACAACAAUAUUACUAGAGUACUUGAGCACUCGACUAAUAUUCAAAGCUCUACUACCGGAAGACUUCUCAUUUAAUUCUAUUAUACAAAUUAUAAAAGAGUUUACCAUCUUCGAACGAUACGUAAGUAAACGAGACUACAAACAAAAAUUUAAUCCUUUCGUUGCCAAUGACCACUUUACCGUUAACACUAUCGAGACAACAAUCAAUCUCGCUGCCAUCUUAUCAAAUGUUUCAAGAUGUUCAACAUAAAAUUAAAACAAAAUAUCGUACGUACCACUGACCUUUUCUAUGUUUUGUUGAAACCGCGCGAAGAUACUUUUUAAGGUUAGAAAAAUGUAAUUGGGUUGAGAAUGACCAAAAGAACGUAGCAGGAUUAAAAACACGAGGAGAACAGAACGAGGUUAAAUAUACCAUAAAGUCGAUGCGCGCAGAAAAUUUAAAUCUAUCGCGAUAUAAUUUUUAUUUUGGGUCGCACAGACCUCUGGAGACAGGGCAGUGUUAAAUAUACCAUAAAACGUCGAUGCAUACACGUGUGUCGAUGCACGCGCCCAGUGAGAAGCGCGUGCAAAGAUCGCGCAGGUGUGAACGGGGCGCAACUGCGACGCGAUUACGAAUCGACGAAGAAAAAGCGGAAAGUGACGCGGCGUGCAACACGUAAACUGUAAACGAAACUUUUGUAUCGAUCGCUGCUAGAGAGUCACGUUGCCCUCGCAUGUCGAUACCGAUAUGUACCCCGUCACACCCCUCGUAUUAUGGACCAACGUUGUGUCGUCGUAGCCGGCGAGAUAAGCGGUUUAUCGCCGCGUAUUGCGAUACAUACCAUGCGCUGAGCGCGCAUGAGCGACCGUUCCGAUAGAAAGAUAGCCGUAAAGUAUAUGUAUGUAUAGUUACUUAUUUAGGUGCUACCUCGUCUUGCUUCGUUGUGUGCGAACACGUGACGUAGCCUCGAUCUCGUCUAGCUCGGUCGUGCGAUGAUAAACCGAUACACGUGUAGGUACGUCGUCGCUAGCGUUGGACUCAAGUACAUCGCAGGUACAUUAGGAUGCAUGAGUAUUUGGAUACUUUCAAACUAUUGGAAUUAUAUGAAACAUACUACAAACGAAGCGUGUUCUUUUAAUUUAACUUUCGCAUCUGAUCUUAUCUCAGGCAACUAUAUAUAGUAGAUAUUGAUAAAAACAACAGUUCUUACAGCAAUAUCGAUUAAUAUAAAUAAAAAAGUAAUAAUUGGAAGUGGAUGAAAAUUACUUGCAGGGAAACAUCUUAAGCGUAUCUGUAAUGAGAUCUCAGAAUGAUUGCGAUAUGUAAUUUUAAACACUUUUUGAAUUAUAGAUUUGAUGAAUAUAGAUUUCAUGAAGUGUCAGCUAUUUAUUAGAGAUAAAUAUGGAACUUGAUCGAUGCAGAUAUAUUUCUCGUUUCAGUCUCGAUUUAGCAGAACAUUUUCAUUCCACUUGUGGUAAAGAGUAGGAAAUUAAACGUAGAAAAAUGUUUUUCUGCCGCAACGUUGAUAAUAAGGAUAUCAAUCUUAUGAUUGGAUUGCACUAAGUGCACAAUUAUGUACUUAUACUUGUACUUAACAGAUUACGCCAUUUACCUGCCGUUUAUACUAAACGAGCACGAACGACGUGUUCUUGCUCUAUGUUCCUACUCGUUUGUUUUAAGCGCACCUUUAAUGCGAAUGCGGCAUUACUUAUGUUUUCUUCAUCGUGUUCAUUUCCCGAUAUUUUCAGAAUGCUUUCGGAUGCGCACGCUCGAGCUAACGCCUCUGGCGUUAUUCACUUGCAAUUACCCGUUCAGUUCUGAACCGUUACGGAAUUAUACGCGGUAACGGGAUUCGAUUCACUGGAGUAAGACUUGCUUAAUUUCCCUCUUGAAUAUAACUUACGAAUCUGGGCCAUCAGACAGCGAGCAUCUUUUCGAAGCUUAGAUGAUACCGCUUGGAUAUUCCAUUUUUCGAGAUCAGUGGACGAGCCGGCUGUUUCAUAAGCUCAACGGAAUAAAACCGAGGAUAUUUAGUUGAAAUUCAUCGCGUAUUUGUUAGGUUAUAUUAUAUAUUAUUUUAAUUAAUUGAAAAGACGUAUAGGUCAAGAAACAAUUUCGUUUAAAUGAAAAUUAUGCAUUUUUGAGCGGUUAGGUCGAAAAGGAAUCGUAUCUUAAGGGGUUAAGGCACACGUUUUAUUCACCCCUGGAAGAAACAGUCGAUGGAAUCGAUGUCGAUUGGUCGCGUAGCGAAGGAACGCCACGUACGUCGCGCGGCGAGUUCCGUAAUUGUGGAAUAUUUUGCAAUUCGUGGAUUGGAAGGCGCCUUUCUCGAAAGAGCGUUGCUGGCAAUGCCGGUCACGUAGGCCCGUAGUUCCGAGGGUGCCCCGAGCACGGCACAGAAUACUAGAAUACUAGCGGCGGGAAUGCGCGGCGAAUACCCGCAACGCGAGUAACCGCUCGUCCGCGAACCAACGAGCCAGCGAGCAAGCGAAUCGUAUGCCCCUCACGCUUCGACGCGCCACCGUAUAUACUUGUAUAUAUAUGUAUGUAUCUAUCCGCUUAAACGUGCCUAUGUACCCCUACGUAGUCGGCAUAAUUUCAACUUUUUCCGUCGCGGCGGAAGUUAGUGAAAAAUUAAGGAGCCCUCACGAAUUCGGGAUAAAGUAAUUUUGUAAUUUUUUGCUAUCGUCCGUGACGUUUCGUUCCGUCUGCCAUCCGCUUCCGUUUGCCGCCGCUGGGCUCAUCGGUUGUUUGAAUAUGUUCAUCAUUUGGAUGUAUACGUAUGGAGAAUCUUCUCUUAAUAUUUUUAAAAUUCUUAAGAUAGGUAGUUUUACUCUCCCCCCCCCCCCCCCUCUCUGUCUAUCUCUGUCUCUUUUUGUCUGUAACGAUUUUGAAAAGUAUGUACAAUUAGAAAAAUCACGAAACGUCAGUAACAUUAGUUGGAAGAUUUCAUUUUUCAUUUUAUAGGUACGCGAAUCUAUCGCAGAGAGAUUUCGAUUUUCAACUGAACGGACCAUUACCUCGCCCACGUCGCAAACGAUCGCCUCAAGUCUCGUGAUCGAGUAAAACCGGUUUGAAUGCGCCAGUGCCGUAACAACUUAUCAGCCGAUACUGGGAUUAGAGAAUAUUCCUGAAUUUGUAACAUAUUCGUUGUCUCUUUCGUUCAUAUAAACUAACAAAUAAUAUAUUUGUUAUAGAUGACUAAAUACAUGAAAUAAAAUAGAGAUUAAUAAAAAGAAAUACUAAUAAA